UCAGGAAUCUUGGACAAUGGGGGCAACCCUGAUCCAGCCAUGCCGCGUGAGUGAAGAAGGCCUUCGGGUUGUAAAACUCUUUCAGAUGUGAAGAUGAUGACGGUAACAUCAGAAGAAGCUCCGGCUAACUUCGUGCCAGCAGCCGCGGUAAUACGAAGGGAGCGAGCGUUGUUCGGAAUCACUGGGCUUAAAGCGUACGUAGGCGGAUAUGAAAGUCAGGAGUGAAAGCCCGGGGCUCAACCCCGGAAUUGCUUCUGAAACUUCAUAUCUUGAGUCCGGGAGGGGAUAGCAGAAUUCCCAGUGUAGAGGUGAAAUUCGCAGAUAUUGGGAAGAAUACCAGUGGCGAAGGCGGCUAUCUGGACCGGAACUGACGCUGAGGUACGAAAGCGUGGGGAGCAAACA
This 402-nucleotide ribosomal RNA is filed under the name uncultured bacterium. Its description in RNAcentral is "bacterial SSU rRNA". It matches the Rfam family "Bacterial small subunit ribosomal RNA", at positions 355 to 774 of the family's 1533-position model. The record is from RNAcentral.